GACGAACGCUGGCGGCGUGCUUAACACAUGCAAGUCGAACGAUGAAGCCGGAGCUUGCUCUGGUGAAUUAGUGGCGAACGGGUGAGUAACACGUGAGUAACCUGCCCUUGACUCUGGGAUAACUGCGGGAAACUGUAGCUAAUACCGGAUACGACCAUCGGAGGCAUCUCCUGGGGGUGGAAAGAAUUUCGGUCAAGGAUGGACUCGCGGCCGAUCAGCUAGUUGGUGAGGUAAAGGCUCACCAAGGCGACGACGGGUAGCCGGCCUGAGAGGGUGACCGGCCACACUGGGACUGAGACACGGCCCAGACUCCUACGGGAGGCAGCAGUGGGGAAUAUUGCACAAUGGGCGCAAGCCUGAUGCAGCAACGCCGCGUGAGGGAUGACGGCCUUCGGGCUGUAAACCUCUUUUAGCAGGGAAGAAGCGAAAGUGACGGUACCUGCAGAAAAAGCACCGGCUAACUACGUGCCAGCCGCCGCCGUAA
RNAcentral lists this ribosomal RNA (484 nucleotides) under uncultured bacterium. Its description in RNAcentral is "partial 16S ribosomal RNA". It matches the Rfam family "Bacterial small subunit ribosomal RNA", at positions 28 to 523 of the family's 1533-position model. The record is from RNAcentral.